AUUGGGUUUAAAUAAGACACCUGGCUAUAACAGAUGAUCAGUCAUGCUAUAGUCCAUAAACCAAGCUUAUUCAGCAAGGUCGACAAAUAUUACGAAUUCCGGUAAUCCGGGCUGAAGGAGCCACCUUUCACGCUGGGCCGAUGUCUGAGCCUCUUACGCAAAACUACCCAAUAUAUUAAAUUUAAAAGCUACAGCUUUAACAAUAUGAUUUGGGAAAUUCAAGAAUGCAAGUGUCUUGUCUUGUUAAACAAAAUUCAUUUUGUAGCAAAUCGAAAUAGUUACUACCUUCAGUAGUUUGUAAAUCUUUUAUGAAAAUCGAAGUUUCGGUAGCAGGUCAAAGGUAUUAUCAAUUCAACUGAAGGUAUUCAACUUACCAGAUAUGCUUCACAAGAAUGAUGUUAAGAUAAAAAUGAACCAUUUAUAAAAGAGAGUUCGGGGUCAAGAGGAAGAUAAGAAUCGCUUACUUUUAACCACAAGAGAAGUAUAGAAAUACUUGCCUUAACUCCAAUGUCUAGCCACGAUUCUAAUAGCACUAUACCGCACAAUCAUAUCUUUCUAAGCAGCUUCUGACAAUACUCUUUCUAUAUAUGUCUUCUCAGAUUAUUCUUGCUUCAACUUGCAACACCAUCGGAUUAAUUUUGAACAUUCUCGAUAUACACGUCUUGAUCUAUUCUACACGAUAGUAGGAUAAUAUCUCAGUCGUUGGAUUAGAAGAACUAGCUAAUUCCAAGUAGUAUAAGUACCGCGAACAUCUACCCUUCGCAUAUCCGUAUAUAUAGUAAACAUGAGUAUAGACAGAUAUCCACAUAACAAUAUAUACACAUUGGAUCAGUCGGCACAUAACCACAUAGUCAAUAAACAAUCAAUACAUAUUCCGGUCCACAUAGAAUAUAAUGCUAUUAGCCAUCAAAUAUCAAAUAUUUAUUAAUAACUAAACACCCUUAAUUUCUAACAAAAAUUCGGCAGCAUUUCCUCUGUUUAUCGGACAAUCCACCUGUUUGCAAUACCAACCACCAUCCAAUACUAUUGCUAUCACAUGAAUUACUAUUAUAAAAAGAUGGCUUGACUUGCAGUAAACACAUAAAAAAAUCUGCCUUAACUUUUAGGGAACAUAUUAUAAAAUCUUUUAGCAAGAUUGCUAAUUUGUUAUAUGCAAAACACGUUUAAUUAAAUAUACAAGGUCAACUGAGCCAAUCUAUUUAAUAAUCAACCGUAUGCAAUUAAUCAAGUAUAACCUCGUAUUAUGCACUAACAAAGAAAGAAAACUAGAGCAAAUAAUUCAAAUAACCCUCACUCUAUGAUUUUUAAUAAAUUGAAAAUUUAUCGUUUCAAUACGAGAUUUUUAUGAGACACUCUUACACAUUAUUCCAACCUACUGUAAAAUUUUCGGAAAGAAAAUCCAAGCUUAAAGCAGUAAAACAGGCCUGUCAAUCAGGCACCAGAAACUGUUUUGCAAAACCAGCCCGACGCUAGAAUUUUUAAUAAAUAGAAAACUUGGUCUGAUUGUAUAAAAUUUUAAUGAAAUAUUCCAGAUACUAACAUCCAACUCUGGUAAAAAUUUCAGAAGCAAAGCUCGAGUUUAAGGUAGCAAAACAGGGCAUGGAACAGGACACAUAAACCUGCCCAGAAUUUUCAGCGCGUACCAUACUAAAACGGUCAUAUCUCCUAGCUCGCUAAUCGAAUCGAUUCGAUUCUUUCGCGCACAUAAACUAGACUCUGAAGAGCAUAUAAUCACAAAGAAAUUGAGCAUAUCACUCGAAUUUAACAGUCCAGAACAGAGCUACAAAACAGGACAGUGUUGCUGCGAAAUUAAGCAUAGUUCGAAAGUUAUGCUUCAAAUACUCAAGUUAGCUCAAUCCAAAUAUUCUAGACCUGAACUUACACUUAAACUCUUAAAACACCAUUCUGAAAACAUUUGUACAAAAUAUCAAACCUGAAAGCUUGAAUACCCAGUUAUAUAUUCCCGUAAUUCAAGUACCUAAGUCAUCCGAUUAUACAACUAGUUGGCGUACUAAUUAUAAUCGACCUUCAACAACCAAUUCAAAUAUCAAUUAAGCACACAAACAACCCAUGGCCAAUUACCUAUAACACAUAUGCAUAACAGGUGUAUAAGCAAGCAAUUUGCCUUAAUUAUUUAAUUAAUCAAUACUAAUCCCCAGCAAUUUAGUCCUCUAUUAUGCACAUAGCACAAUCCAUAUACACAUAUAUACACAAUUACUAACUUUAGUUUGUCCUUAAUCACCCAAUUAAGUGUGAGCCCCGAUUAACACAUAACAAUACAAGUGAAAUUCACAUAAUCAGAUUAUACCCACAAAAUACAUGUAAAUCGAUUAUAAGAAUUUUAACAGAGCUUUAUACCGAACUGUGUUGAACUCGAGGGGUGGAAUAAAGCUUGUGUCGUCGGACAAACAUGCCACAGCUGAUGCAGGUUUUGGAGACUCAAUAAUAGAGAAACCUGGAGAGAAAAGAAUCGAUAACUUCCGACCGGGAAGAAGCAGGAGGCAUGGACAAGAAGAAAUUCGCGGGUGACCACAACAGGUUUGGCCGGAAUCGGAACCAGCGGCGGCGACUUGUCUGGAGCAUAUCGGUCAGCGGGGAAGUUUAACAGAAUAGAAGGGAGGCUGUCGACAGAGAAAAGAUUUCGAAAGGGGGAGAGAUUAGAAGGAGACUGAUGUUUGAGAUAAAAAGGAAGAAGUAUUGUGUAUAUACAAAGGCGGUGGUGGAAUAAACGGUGGCGGUGCUAAAAAAAGGGGUACGUGGUUAAGUCUUUUACUUCCACGUGCCCAUAAUAAUCUGAAGACUCGGACCUGCUUUUAACUAAAUUAUCGGAAUAUCUCGCUAUUAUAAUAUCUUGGAAACAUCACCAAAAUAUUUUUAUAAAUCCCGGAAUAUUAUAAAACUAAUAAAAUAAAAGUUUCGGGAUUUAUGAGAGAAAAUGCCCUAAAUAACUAAAAAUUUAGGACUGUGUGUCCAAAAUACCGAGACUCAGUAACACCGUCUUUUUUACCCACUGCCAUACGCAUUUUCUGAAUGCGUAUACAAAUACAAAGCUUAGUAGAUUCCAGCUGUUCGUCUUUUUUAUUUAAUGAAAACUCAUCCAUCUCCUUCCUUAUAUGUCUCAUCUUUAACCUGAUGUAUCAACAAAAACAAACGCCCAAUUGAACACAUAUAGGGAUUGGGUUAUAAAAGAAAAAGGGGUUAGGGUUUUAUAUUUCAUCAAUCAAAUUGAAUGUUUGUAUCGAUUGGGUUAUGAUUCGAAAUGGCUUCUAUAUAUUCGUGGGAGUGUAUGGUGAUGAAUAGGGUGGCAAUGGUGUUUGUGUAGUUGUUGUCGGCGGCGUUGUGAAGGUAUGUGCGGGGGUUGAGAUAGGGAGCUGGUGGAGGUGGCUUUGCAGGGCAGCUCUGUUAUUUGAUCAGUAUACAGCUUCAAACGCAUGUGAAUAUAGAAGAAAGGGAGUAGUCACAUACGCAUAUGGUGUAGGCGUAUAAGAUGUGCUCACGCAUCCACCAAAUGCGUGUACAGAAUCUGGUGGGAAAAUAUAUGUAAAACUGUUAUGAUACUUGUGUAGAUGCAAUUAAAUUGUAACACUCGCAUGUGAGAAAUGCGUGAUUACUGUAUGCGCAUAUACAAAAUGCGUCUUCAAUUGGAUAUAUAGGGCACAAAUUCAGUCAGUCAGUAUUUUGGGCAUUCCUUCUUUAUAUUUAGGUAGAUAGGGCCUUCACCCGAUUUAUGAAGCAUUACUGAAAUUUAUACGUAAUUUAGAAGUUAAUUGUGUUCAAGAAAUAUUUAAACAUGAAACUUCUACAAAAAUAA
This 3811-nucleotide long non-coding RNA is filed under the name Daucus carota (carrot). Its description in RNAcentral is "long non-coding RNA (DCAR_LNC002001)". Lineage: Eukaryota; Viridiplantae; Streptophyta; Magnoliopsida; Apiales; Apiaceae. The record is from RNAcentral.